RNAcentral lists this ribosomal RNA (215 nucleotides) under uncultured Anaerolineaceae bacterium. RNAcentral's name for it is "partial 16S ribosomal RNA". It matches the Rfam family "Bacterial small subunit ribosomal RNA", at positions 1173 to 1382 of the family's 1533-position model. The record is from RNAcentral. Lineage: Bacteria; Bacillati; Chloroflexota; Anaerolineae; Anaerolineales; Anaerolineaceae.
GGUGGGACGACGUCAAGUCAGCAUGUACCUUUAUAUCCGAGGGCUACACACACGCUACAAUGGUCAGUACAAUGGGUUGCCAAGCCGCGAGGCGGAGCCAAUCCUAAAAAGCUGGCCUCAGUUCAGAUUGCAGUCUGAAACCUCCGACUGCAUGAAGUCGGAGUUGCUAGUAAACGCAGGUCAGCUAUACUGCGUUGAAUACGUUCCCGGGGCUU